UACGGAGGGUGCAAACGUUGCUCGGAAUCAUUGGGCGUAAAGCGCACGUAGGCGGUUCGGCAAGUUGGAUGUGAAAGCCCUCGGCUCAACCGAGGAAGUGCAUUCAAAACUACCGAGCUAGAGUACCGGAGAGGGUGACGGAAUUCCCGGUGUAGAGGUGAAAUUCGUAGAUAUCGGGAGGAACACCAGCGGCGAAGGCGGUCACCUGGACGGAUACUGACGCUGAGGUGCGAAAGCGUGGGGAGCAAACAGG
This 253-nucleotide ribosomal RNA is filed under the name uncultured bacterium. RNAcentral's name for it is "partial 16S ribosomal RNA". It matches the Rfam family "Bacterial small subunit ribosomal RNA", at positions 524 to 776 of the family's 1533-position model. The record is from RNAcentral.